RNAcentral lists this ribosomal RNA (594 nucleotides) under Dirkmeia churashimaensis. RNAcentral's name for it is "LSU rRNA". It matches the Rfam family "Eukaryotic large subunit ribosomal RNA", at positions 92 to 667 of the family's 3401-position model. Lineage: Eukaryota; Fungi; Basidiomycota; Ustilaginomycetes; Ustilaginales; Ustilaginaceae. The record is from RNAcentral.
AGUGAAGAGGGAAGAGCCCAAGAUUGAAAGCUGGCGUCUUCGGCGUCCGCAUUGUAAUCUCAAGAAGUGUUUUCCGCUUCGGACCAUGCCUAAGUCCCUUGGAAAAGGGCAUCAUAGAGGGUGAUAAUCCCGUACAUGGCAUGGAGCGCCCGAAGCUUUGUGAUACGCUUUCUAAGAGUCGAGUUGUUUGGGAAUGCAGCUCAAAAUGGGUGGUAAAUGCCAUCUAAGGCUAAAUAUUGGGGAGAGACCGAUAGCGAACAAGUACAGUGAUGGAAAGAUGAAAAGAACUUUGAAAAGAGAGUUAAACAGUACGUGAAAUUGCCAAAAGGGAAGGGUAGGAGGUCAGAGAUGCGGCCUGGGAUUCAGCCUUGCUUUUGCUUGGUGUUUUUCCCAGAUUGCAGGCCAACGUCGGUUUUGGGCACUGGAGAAGGGUAGGAGGAACGUGGCACCUCUCGGGGUGUGUUAUAGCCUCCUACUGGAUACAGCGACCGAGACCGAGGACAGCAGCGUACUCGCAAGAGCGGGCCUUCGGGCACCUUUACGCUUAGGGCGUUGGCAUAAUGGCCCUCUACCACCCGUCUUGAACCACGGACC